Oncorhynchus tshawytscha (Chinook salmon) is the source of this 754-nucleotide long non-coding RNA. The record is from Ensembl. Lineage: Eukaryota; Metazoa; Chordata; Actinopteri; Salmoniformes; Salmonidae.
CCGGUUCUCAUUGCGUAAAGUUCUGAUGAUUGAGGCCACGGUUGAUCUUCUGAGGUUUGGUUGAAUCAUUGUAGCUGCCUCAGUCAUUGUCAUGAUUUACGACAUGGUCUACAACUAUUGCUCGGAUUUCAUUGGACACUCUCUGCUGUUGCUGCCGCUGUCUUGGUCCGUGGCCUUAUCCUCUACCACGUUCCCCCACACCUCUCAAACGAGGCCCACGACCAUCUCUCAGAAGGGGUGUUUGUCCUCUACCACAUUCCCCCACACAUCUCAAACGAGGCCCACGACCAUCUCUCAGAGGGGGUGUUUGUCCUCUACCACAUUCCCCCACACAUCUCAAACAAGGCCCACGACCACCUCUCAGAAGGGGUGCUUGUCCUCUACCACGUUCCCCCACACAUCUCAAACAAGGCCCACGACCACCUCUCAGAAGGGGUGCUUGUCCUCUACCACGUUCCCCCACACAUCUCAAACGAGGCCCACGACCACCUCUCAGAAGGGGUGCUUGUCCUUUGACAUUCCUUUGACCACCACGUCUUCCUCCUCCCACUGCUUGACCUCUAUUGUGACCUGGAUCACCUGCCAGCUCCAUGUUAUCUCUAUGUUGUUGUAGGUGGAUACCACUGAUUUCACUAUACAGCUCCAUGUUAUCUCUAUGUUGUUGUAGGUGGAUACCACUCAUUUCACUAUACAGCUCCAUGUUAUCUCUAUGUUGUUGUAGGUGGAUACCACUCAGUCCACUAUACAGCUCCAU